Molecule: ribosomal RNA, 253 nt
Filed under: uncultured bacterium
Lineage: Bacteria
Description: partial 16S ribosomal RNA
Rfam family: Bacterial small subunit ribosomal RNA
Source: RNAcentral
UACGGAGGAUCCGAGCGUUAUCCGGAUUUAUUGGGUUUAAAGGGUGCGUAGGCGGUUUGAUAAGUCAGCGGUGAAAUAUUUCAGCUUAACUGGAAGGGUGCCGUUGAUACUGUCGAGCUUGAAUUUAGUUGCUGUGGGUGGAAUGUGUGGUGUAGCGGUGAAAUGCAUAGAUAUCACACAGAAUAUCGAUUGCGAAGGCAGCUCACAAAGCUAAUAUUGACGCUGAUGCACGAAAGUGUGGGGAUCAAACAGG